UGCCAGACUCCUACGGGAGGCAGCAGUGAGGAAUAUUGGUCAAUGGCCGAGAGCCUGAACCAGCCAAGUCGCGUGAGGGAAGAAGGUACUGAGUAUUGUAAACCUCUUUUGCCAGGGGACAAAGGCGGCCACGGGUGGCCGUAAGAGGGUACCUGGAGAAAAAGCAUCGGCUAACUCCGUGCCAGCAGCCGCGGUAAUACGGAGGAUGCGAGCGUUAUCCGGAUUUAUUGGGUUUAAAGGGUGCGUAGGCCGGCUUUUAAGUCAGCUGUGAAAGUCCGCGGCUCAACCGUGGAAUUGCAGUUGAAACUGGAGGCCUUGAGUGCACACAGGGAUGCCGGAAUUCAUGGUGUAGCGGUGAAAUGCUUAGAUAUAAUGAAGAACUCCGAUCGCGAAGGCAAGUGUCCGGGGUGCAACUGACGCUGAGGCUCGAAAGUGCGGGGAUCAAACAGGAUCAGAUACCCCGGUACUC
RNAcentral lists this ribosomal RNA (469 nucleotides) under uncultured bacterium. RNAcentral describes it as "bacterial SSU rRNA". It matches the Rfam family "Bacterial small subunit ribosomal RNA", at positions 329 to 795 of the family's 1533-position model. The record is from RNAcentral.